RNAcentral lists this ribosomal RNA (476 nucleotides) under uncultured bacterium. Its description in RNAcentral is "bacterial SSU rRNA". It matches the Rfam family "Bacterial small subunit ribosomal RNA", at positions 33 to 507 of the family's 1533-position model. The record is from RNAcentral.
ACGCUGGCGGCGUGCUUAACACAUGCAAGUCGAACGAGAAUCUGUGGAUCGAGGAUUCGUCCAAGUGAAGCAGAGGACAGUGGCGGACGGGUGAGUAACGCGUGAGGAACCUGCCUUUCAGGAGGGGACAACAGUUGGAAACGACUGCUAAUACCGCAUGAUACUAUUUGGGUGGCAUCAUCUGAAUGUCAAAGAUUUAUCGCUGAAAGAUGGCCUCGCGUCUGAUUAGCUGGUUGGUGAGGUAACGGCCCACCAAGGCGACGAUCAGUAGCCGGACUGAGAGGUUGACCGGCCACAUUGGGACUGAGAUACGGCCCAGACUCCUACGGGAGGCAGCAGUGGGGAAUAUUGGGCAAUGGGCGCAAGCCUGACCCAGCAACGCCGCGUGAAGGAAGAAGGCUUUCGGGUUGUAAACUUCUUUUAAGAGGGAAGAGCAGAAGACUGUACCUCUAGAAUAAGCCACGGCUAACUACGUG